RNAcentral lists this non-coding RNA (24 nucleotides) under Arabidopsis thaliana (thale cress). The record is from RNAcentral. Lineage: Eukaryota; Viridiplantae; Streptophyta; Magnoliopsida; Brassicales; Brassicaceae.
UUUGGAUUACACAAAAACGAUGCC